GACAGAGGAUGCAAGCGUUAUCCGGAAUGAUUGGGCGUAAAGCGUCUGUAGGUGGCUUUUUAAGUCCGCCGUCAAAUCCCAGGGCUCAACCCUGGACAGGCGGUGGAAACUACCAAGCGGAGUACGGUAGGGGCAGAGGGAAUUUCCGGGUGGAGCGGUGAAAUGCGUAGAGAGUCGGAAAAGAACACCAACGGCGAAAGCACUCUG
RNAcentral lists this ribosomal RNA (207 nucleotides) under uncultured bacterium. RNAcentral describes it as "partial 16S ribosomal RNA". It matches the Rfam family "Bacterial small subunit ribosomal RNA", at positions 524 to 728 of the family's 1533-position model. The record is from RNAcentral.